Molecule: non-coding RNA, 3159 nt
Organism: Macaca mulatta (Rhesus monkey)
Lineage: Eukaryota; Metazoa; Chordata; Mammalia; Primates; Cercopithecidae
Source: RefSeq, a predicted model, not a curated record
CAUCUAAUAUUAUACAAAUUAGGAUCCAUACAAAGACUAAAUGUUGCAUUGGUUGAGAUUAUCUCUUUUAAGUCUCUUUUAAUAUAUAGCCUUCCUCUGUUCUCUUUAUUUCUCAUGCCAUUUGUUGAAGAAAUCAAGUCAUUUUUCCAGUACAAUUUUCCACCAUCUGAACUUGGCUGAUGGCCUCCUUGUGGUGUCAUUUAACAUGUUCUUACACACACUAUCAUAGCUGAUAAACUGGGAAUGAGAUCUGGAGUCUUGAUUCAUUCAUUAAUAUUGAUUAGUAAGCUCAGGGGUUGUCAGCCCCCGAUGUACCCAUGCGAAAGUUUCCCAUCAGUCUUUUACCUGAUGGUUUUAACACCGCUUUAUGAUCAUCACCUACACUCAUUUCAUUAGGGUUUUCAGAAUGAUAAUUUUUAGAAUCUUUUUAUUUUGAGAUAAUUGUAGAUUCACAUGUAGAUGUAGGAAAUAAUACGGAGAUCCCAUUUCCCCUUCAUCCACUUUCCCCCAUUGGCAACAUCUUGCUUGAGUAUAGUCCGAUUUUACAGGCAGGAAAUUGACAUUGGUACAAACAAUGGACCUCAUUUAGAUUUCACUAGUUUUAUAUGCACGUGUGUGUAUAUAUGUGUAUGCCUGCAUGUGUAUGCAUUUAGUUCUGUGCAGUUACAUUGCAUGUAGAUAAAAAUGGGUAACACCACAGUCAAGAAUCAAAACAUUUCCAUCACAAGGAUCUCUCAUUUUACCCUUUAAUAGCUACAGACACCUCUUUCCCUCUCCUCCCCAACCCCUAGCAACACCCUAAUGCAUUCUUCAUUUCGGUAUUUCUGUAAUUUUGUCAUCACAAGAAUGACAUAAAAAUGGAAUUAUACAGUAUGCAACCUUUUGAGACUGCCUUUUUCCAUUCAGUUUGAUUCCCUUGAGAUUCACCCUGAUUGUUUCCUGUAUCAAUAAUUUAUUUCUUUUUAUUACUGACUAGUAUUUCAUGAUAUGGAUAUACUGCAGUUUGUCUGAUCAUUCAUAUGUUAAAGGGCAUUUGGAUUGUUUCCCAGUUUUGUGGUAUUACACAUGGAUAUGCUGUACACAUUCAUGUACAGGUUUUUGUGUCAAUGUAAGUUUUUGUUUCUCUAGCAUAAAUGCCCAAGAAUGCAAUUACUGUGUUAUAUAAUGGGUAUGCCUAGUUUUGUGAGAAAUUGCCAUAUUCUUUUUCAGACUGGCUAGUACCAUUUUACAUUCCUACCAGCAAUGUAUGUGAAUUUCUCCACCCUCACCAACAUUUGGGGCUCUUGCUGUGUUUUAUUUUAGCCAUCCUGAUAAGGAAUCCCUCACAUGGCUCCUGAAGAAGUGACCAUCACAGUUCGCCUCAUCCGUUCCUUUGAGCAUCGCAAUUUCAAACCUAUAGUGUAUCAUGGAGUGAAUUUGGACCAAACUGUAAAGGAAUUUAUCAUAUUUCUAAAGCAAGAUGUCCCUUUAAGGACCAGCCUGCCACCACCAUUCAGAAAUUAUAAAUAUGAUACACUAAAGAUUAUUCAUCAAGCACAUAAAUCAAAGACAAAUGAACUUGUGUUGAGUUUGGAAGAUGACGACAGACUCCUGCUGAAAGAAGACAGCACUCUGAAAGCAGCUGGAAUCGCCAGGCAUGUCAAGUGGCUAAAGAAUAAAUGCAUGAAAAUUAAGAGCCAGAUCUGCCUGCGAAAGAGAACAGGAGCAAGCUGGCUGUUGGCUGUCACCUGGAGUCACCUGCUGGGAAGUGCCGAAUCACCCCAGACCAAGGACAGGAAGGAGGCUUGGAUCUCCUCUAUCACCCCAGGCUGGAGUGCAGUGGCAGGAUUGCGGUUCACUGCAGCCUCGACCACCCUGGCUCAAGUGAUCCUCGCAUCUCAGCUAAGAGAAACUCUUGGAACAGAAAACCAAAUACCACAUAUUCUCAGUUAUAAGUGGGAGCUAAAUGAUAAGAACACAUGGACACAAAGAGGGGAACAACGGACACCGAGGCCUACCUGAGGGUGGAAGUUGGGAGGAGGGAGAGGAGCAGAAAAGAUAACUAUUGGGUACUGGGCUUAAUACCUGGGUGAUGAAAUAAUCUGUACGACAAACCCCCAUGACAGUAGCUUUCCUGUGUAACAAACUUUCACAUGUACCACUGAACCUAAAAUUAAAGUUAAAAAUAAAAUUAUGUUAAAAGGGUAACUCUUGUUUUUCUCAUAACCUAGUAACAAACCUAUGUGGUAAGAACUAUAAUCACCUUCAUUUUAUAGCUGGGGAAACUGAGGCAAGAGGAGGUUAAAUCAGGUUAGGAAGUAGUAGAAGUGGUGCUGAAACCCUGGCAGUGUGGUUCCAGAUUUUGUGUUCUUUUUUUAACCGUUUUUUUUUUUUGUUUUUUUUUUUUUGUUUUUUUUUUUUUUAGAGAUAGUGGCUUGCUGUCAGCCAGGCCAGAGUGCUAUGGUACAGUCAUGGCUCAUGACAGCCUUGACCUCCUGGACUCAAGUGAUCCUCUCACCGCAGCCUCCUGAGAAGCUGGAACUACAGGAGGACAAGUCCUUGAAUGACCUUGGCUGAUUCAGCUCUCCCUGCUCCUUCUUACAAUUCUUGGGCAGAAUGUACGAGAAUGUAACAUCCUGAGAGAAGGAAGAACCAUGUAGAACAGCCUGGGCUUUGUCUUUGUUCUUCUCAGAACAAGAUGCUCUGCAGUGCUUAAGCUCGGUGAUUUAAGUACCUGUAGGAUAUAAAACCCAAAGUGGACUGCUUUCAGGGUCCCUCAGCAGUAGUGUGAAGUUGGGCAUGUGCAGAUGAGAGUCUGUCUGCCCUGGGCAGCUUGCUUGAGUUCUGGGGGACCAGCUCACCAUGGAUUCUAUGCUUCUGUCUAUCUUUGCUACCGAUCUGUGAGUAAUAAGUUGGCUUUGCCUGACUUGUGCAGGUGUUUUGUCAUACCAGACUGAGACUCUGGCAGCUGGGUUUGUGCAAAACCUUUAGAAGCUGAGUUUGUGUAAAGACUCCUGCCAGACCUGGGCACCCACCAGAUAUAGGAAUCUUUACAAAAAUUGGCAAGGUGUUUAGAGUCCUCUCCUGGUAACCAGCGUAUGGUGUAUCCCUCAUAAAGAUUGAUACCAGUGCAUGGUAUUCUGUUUCACAAUUAUGAAUAUAUGUGGAUUUUUUCUAAUA